UCUUCUUAUCUUAUUUGCACAUUAUUUUCACUAUUCUCAAACUUUCUCUCUGGCCGAGUGACCGUCAAGCAAGGGAUUUCUUCUAACACCACACUACAACAAUGCCCUAUCAAUCUCAAUGUUGCUAUAUCAGCCGUUAACCAAGUUCACCUCUUUGUAGAGGAAGAAGAUUCGUUAGCUACUCCAACUUUUGAGAUUCUAAACAGGUUGUCGUAACCAUCAAAAAUGCACUUCUUGACUUCCCUUCCCAGCUCAUCAAAACCGUUUCAAAAUUUGAGAUGAUGAGGCUCAUGCAUUUGCUUUUGUUCUUGGUUUCUUUCUACUCUUUCCGUCUUAAAAGAACCUCGGCAAAAACACCAGGACAUUAAAAAAAUGAUUACUUGAUUCAGAUGGCUUCAUUACCGGAUGUUAUAUUAUUGUUGCAAUGUUGAACUCAGUAGUAGCUUGGUAGGAGUCUGAAAUUUGGCGUUGCUAAUGUGAGAACUAAUCUAUUAUUUUAUUUUGUUUUUACACAUAACGUA
Molecule: long non-coding RNA, 521 nt
Organism: Glycine soja
Lineage: Eukaryota; Viridiplantae; Streptophyta; Magnoliopsida; Fabales; Fabaceae
Exons: 4
Source: RefSeq, a predicted model, not a curated record